GACGAACGCUGGCGGCGUGCCUAAUACAUGCAAGUCGAGCGGACGAAUCGAAAGCUUGCUUUUGAUUCGUUAGCGGCGGACGGGUGAGUAACACGUGGGCAACCUGCCCUGUAGACGGGGAUAACACCGAGAAAUCGGUGCUAAUACCGGAUAACACGAAAUGUCGCAUGACGUUUCGUUGAAAGACGGCGCACGCUGUCGCUACAGGAUGGGCCCGCGGCGCAUUAGCUAGUUGGUGAGGUAACGGCUCACCAAGGCGACGAUGCGUAGCCGACCUGAGAGGGUGAUCGGCCACACUGGGACUGAGACACGGCCCAGACUCCUACGGGAGGCAGCAGUAGGGAAUCUUCCGCAAUGGGCGAAAGUCUGACGGAGCAACGCCGCGUGAGCGAAGAAGGCCUUCGGGUCGUAAAGCUCUGUUGUUAGGGAAGAACAAGUAACGCAGUAACUGGCGUUACCGUGACGGUACCUAACGAGAAAGCCACGGCUAACUACGUG
RNAcentral lists this ribosomal RNA (498 nucleotides) under uncultured bacterium. RNAcentral's name for it is "partial 16S ribosomal RNA". It matches the Rfam family "Bacterial small subunit ribosomal RNA", at positions 28 to 507 of the family's 1533-position model. The record is from RNAcentral.